RNAcentral lists this transfer RNA (71 nucleotides) under Loxodonta africana (African savanna elephant). It matches the Rfam family "tRNA". From Rfam's summary of the family: Transfer RNA (tRNA) molecules are approximately 80 nucleotides in length. Their secondary structure includes four short double-helical elements and three loops (D, anti-codon, and T loops). The record is from Rfam by way of RNAcentral. Lineage: Eukaryota; Metazoa; Chordata; Mammalia; Proboscidea; Elephantidae.
GCAGUGGUGGUUUAAUGAUAAAAUCCUCGCCUUCUAUGCAGGAGACCCAGGUUUGAUUCCGGACCAAUGCA